UACAGAGGGGGCAAGCGUUGUUCGGAAUUACUGGGCGUAAAGGGCGCGUAGGCGGCCCGCUAAGUCGAACGUGAAAUCCCCGGGCUCAACCUGGGAACUGCAUCCGAAACUGGCUUGCUAGAGUAUGGGAGAGGGAGGCGGAAUUUCUGGUGUAGCAGUGAAAUGCGUAGAUAUCAGAAGGAACAUCAGUGGCGAAGGCGGCCUCCUGGACCAAUACUGACGAUCAGGUGCGAAAGCGUGGGGAGCAAACAGG
Molecule: ribosomal RNA, 253 nt
Filed under: uncultured prokaryote
Description: partial 16S ribosomal RNA
Rfam family: Bacterial small subunit ribosomal RNA
Source: RNAcentral